Long non-coding RNA from Myotis lucifugus (little brown bat), 1483 nucleotides. RefSeq lists it as uncharacterized. The transcript has 7 exons. Lineage: Eukaryota; Metazoa; Chordata; Mammalia; Chiroptera; Vespertilionidae. The record is from RefSeq and is a predicted model, not a curated record.
GGGGUGUUUUGUUUUUUAAAAUUAAAGCUUUGACCUGGCCUUUUCAGUAUUUCUUAUGAGUUGAGAAUCUGCUGCAGCUGCCUUAAUUGUGGACCAUCUGAGGAUUGAUGCCCAACUCUUUACCUUGAACAGGUGUUCAGAUCUAUGACCGGACAAGUGUUAUUCACGUGAUGAUCAAAAAAGGUGAAGUUACUGGCGUGGAGACUGAUAAAGGACAGAUCGAAUGCCAGUAUUUUGUCAAUUGUGCUGGUCAGAGCCCCUGUUGAGCUCCCUCCUGCGUAGGAUGCCAGACCUGGAGACAUUGGAGAUCAUGAAGUUGGUCAAUUGCCCCGAGACCUUCACACCAGACAUGAGGUGCAUCAUGGGCGAGUCUCCUUUGGUUAAGGGCUACUUUGUCCUGGCAGGAAUGAACUCUGCUGGCCUUUCGUUUGGUGGAGGAGCUGGAAGUGGCGCUUUGACACAUCCCGAGAGUUGACCGGAGAGGAAGGUGUGAGUGUGCUGCUGGAGAACCCUCACUGAGACGAGCUGGGGCAGCCUCUACCCACACCCACCUGCUCUGGGGAAGGAGAGGUUAAAAGAUUCCCUCAAUUGAAUAUGCUGACAAGAUAGAAGAGGCCCCCCGUCCCCCACCGCUCCCCAAGAGGUGAUGAUGGAUCCUUUCAGAGAAGAAAGUACCAACCAUCUUAAAGUCCAUCCCCCCAGUCACAGGAGUCCAGAACCCCUCGAAUCCCUAGAGAGAGCCCACCCGAUGCCUCUCGUCAGUGAGGUAGAUGGUCAUCUUGCUCGAGGUAUCACGGUGCCAGCCCACAGCACAGUGGAACAGGAACGCAGCUGCCUGGCUGCAGGCACAACUGCCUCAGGGCCGUAACAAGCACACAGCAACUCAUCACCGUCAGCAGGCGGCUCUGAGAACACCUGGCCCACGGAGAUGGACUCCUGCCUGCACACCACCAGCUUCCCUGGCUUCCCAACACAGCAUGUGACAUCCGACUGCCACCACACACACUUCUACAAGUGGGGCUUGCUCCUGUCCCCAUGGGAAUCUGAGACGGGUGGACGGAUGGGACAAACAGCUCAGACUGAGUGUGAGGAGAUGAAAGGACAAGAGAGGCUGCAAAGCAAAAAGUUUAAAAUGAUACCAAGGAGAUAAGAAAUGGAAGGUAAAGGUUAAAUCGAGAAGAGGGACAGGAUCAGGACAGAGGCUCCUAAGACGACACACUAAUCAUUCUAAGGACAUCCUAAUCAUCACUGUUCACCUGGCGCUAUCAUCGAGGUCUCAGCACUUCCACCCUUUCCUUCCACAUUAGCCCACUUCCUGCUCUAACACAGAUGCCCUGCACGGGCAGGCACAACAGACUCUAACCCUGCCAGUGCUCAGCAGGUGUGGGACACCAGCACACCUCCCUGCUUCUCACCUCUAUGGGGAUGUAAAGCAUGAAGCCCGGCUCUCCCGUGUGAGUCAUGCUCAUCACCCGGAUCCCGU